Callithrix jacchus (white-tufted-ear marmoset) is the source of this 4742-nucleotide non-coding RNA. The record is from RefSeq and is a predicted model, not a curated record. Lineage: Eukaryota; Metazoa; Chordata; Mammalia; Primates; Cebidae.
GCAGCUGUAAAGGGGGAGACAGAGCGACUUCUUGUAUCUGCCCUCGCACUGGCGCCCUCCUAUGGGGAGGCCUACAGAAGAGCCUUCUUUCCUCGACUAAGACUGGGAAAGUGGGAGCAGGGGUCGGAGAAGGGCAGGGAGGUGGGGAGCCUGGGAAGUGUGAGGCCUGGAGCAGGCUCUGGGUGGAGAGAGGGUUGGAAGGAAGAACAGGGAGAAAGACAGGACCGGUUGGGGGGCGUGGCCAGGGUACCCGGAGUGGCUUCGGAUGGAAGGGGUGUGGCAUAGGCUGGAGUAUUUGGUUUGCGAUAAAUGGGGUGGGGCCUGGGAACAGAAGAUGAAGUGCGACCAGCUGGAGAAGAGGAAGAGGAACUUGUGCUCAAGCAGAGACAAGUUGAGGUGCCUUUGGUGGUGGUCUCCAACACCCCCUCUGCAGCAGAGAAAGAGGCGGUGGAGGCUGCAAGUGGGGCUGUGACAGUGCCGGCACUCCAGCUGCGGCGGCCUGGCCCUGGAGUGGUGGGCUCGGACCCAAGGCUGCAGGCUCGCGAGCAGAAGAUUAGGCCUCGGCGUGGCAGGAAUGGACGGCCCAGUAGGGCCCGCCCGCAGCGACUACAGCAGAAGCAGCGCUCUGAGGCAUGCCAGUGCUGGCCCUCGUAAGCCAUCUGGCCUUGGUCCAGGCCUGUGGGGACCAACAAGGGGGAAAAAUGGAAUCAGAAUCCCCGGGCAUACCCCUACCCCUUGUGAAUGGGUCCCUUCUCAGGAAGAGGUGGGGAAUCUGAGGCAAGGCACUCCUGGGCACCUUCCUCCUCCAAAUGGGGCCCUUCUGGAGAAAGCAGGAAACGGGUUUUGGUUCUCUCCUGGAGACUGGCUGGUGAACCUCUCUCUCACUCCUUCCUUUCUUUCACAGGGUGCUCUCUCCCAGAGCGGCGUGGGCAUUGGAUUCUAAGAUCCAGGCCAGGCUUAGACAUUAAGGAGAGUGGAAGGCUGGGCCCUAAGAGGAGGCCUGGCUGGUGGGGGCAGGGCUUGGAAGGUGGGGUGUGGCCCUCAUGAGAAAGGAGUGGGUCUCACAGGGUAGGGUGAGCUAGAAGCUAGGCCUGACCUAGGCUGAUGCAGGAGAGUGGACGAGAACAGGGCAUAGCUUGGGGUGGUGGAGGCUAGCCUUAGGAGGAGCCCUGGGGCAGGAAUUAGAGCACCCUCUGGAGGUGGGUCUAGACGUGUGGUGGUAGCCCAGCAUUGUGUGGGUGGGAUUUAGAAAGCAUGGCAUAGUGGGGACAUUGGGAGUGGGACUUGCAAUCAAGCAUACAGGCCUACAGUGUUGGGGCUGGACAAAGCGCAGAGCACAGUGCAGGGUGGGACCUGGUGCAUGGUCCAGCCCCCCAGGGUCUAGUGGGUGUUCUUCUGUGUGCGGAGAUGAUAGGUGGUAGAAAAGAAAGACACAAGACACAGAGAUAAGAGAAGAGUUCAGCUGGGCCGGGGGGACCACUGCUAUCAAGGGGCGGAGUCCAGCAGUGGCCCUCCCACCCCCCCAGGCCCAACUGAAUUCUUCUCUUAUCUCUGUGUCUUAUGUCUUUCUUUUCUACCAUCUAUCAUCUCCGCACAUAAAAGAACACCCACUAGACCCUGUGAGGCUGGACCCUGCAGCCUGGACAGGAGGUGUCCUGUUGGGGUGGAGCUGUGGCCCAGUUGUCCAUCCAUCCCUCUGUCCAUUCCCACCGCAUUCACCCACCAAUGUGCUCCCCACAGCCAUCACAGUACUCCGCAUGGCGGGCCUCAUAGCAGGUGCAACAGUGGGGGCGGCUCUGACGCAUUACAUAGCGCUGCCCUCCUAGCGAAGCUUCACACUCGAAGCAGCAGAAGUGAUCCAUAUGCCAGUGGCGGCCCUCAGCUUCCGUGCACUCAGGGGAAAAGAUGAUCUGGAGGGCACAGGCCAUCUGUGGCUGUCAGAUGAGCCUGCCCCUGGCCCUACCCAUCCUCCACUCCCACCCCUGGGCAGGGAGGCCCAAACCUCAUCACAGGCUUGGCAGCGUGGACGCAGGCAUUCGGCAUGGUGACGCCCGCAAUAGACCUUUCCAGCAUGGUAGAAGUAGAUGAGGUCAACCAGAAGCUCCCGGCACGUGGUGCACAAAAAGCACUGUGGGUGCCAGCAGGCACCCAGGCCCGCACGGCUGGCAAACACUGCGAUGUCCCCACCUCCAAUCUGCUUCCCGCACUGCCAGGAGACAAGCACCAAGAUGGUUACCAUCACUGUCACCAAGAUGGUCAGAUGGAUGGGGUCAACCAAAGUGUGUUACACUUGGGCCUUUCCCCUGGCAAACCUUUGUGACUGGCCCCACCCAUGGGGUAACUUUGAGACAGGCCCUGCCUACACCAGGGAUGGGGUUAGGAGGUACCUUAGAGACUGAGCCUGCUCAUGGUGGAAGCCACAGAGACAGGCCCUACCCAUGGUGGGUGGCCUUACAGACAAGCCUCCCUCCUCAGGGGUGGGGAAGACAGACAGGCCAGGCCUAGUGGGGGAAACCACAGAGAUAGUCACCACCCACUGGGACCUUAGCAAUAGAUCUCACCUAACAGGAGUAUCUAAGGAUAGGCCUUGCCCAUCACUGGGCUCUGCAGACAGGCCCUGCCACUGUGGGUCAGCUCUUGAGGACAAGUUCUGACCACAGGAGGACCAAAGAGACAGCCCAUGCCCCAUGUUCACUGCACAGAAGGGGAGAAAACCACACACGACAGUGGGAUCGAUGGGACAGGUCCCUGUUCACUAGGGGUUGCCUUAGAGACAGUCCCUGCCCAACAGUGAGAUGUGAGGAAGAGACCCCACCCAGGAGAAGGUACCCCGCCCAGCAGAAGGGACCCUAGAGACAGCCCACUGGGGCUUCAGUGGCAGGCCUCAUCUUCCCACUGCCUGGAAGAUGUGCCCUGCUCCUCAGGGCUUGGAGCAGAGGCAAUGCUCACUCGCUGAGGCCCUCCAUGGCUCACCUCCUCACAGAUGGCCCCAGUGAUAGUCACCGGGAAGAUGCGCACAAUGCCACGCCCCAGAUUCUCCCGCUUCCGCUGCUGGCUGAAGGCUCUGAGCUCUUUCUUCUCCUCCUCUUCCAAUGCGGUACAGUACUGUGCCUGGGAGGAGAGAGAAGGCAUCUCCCAGGCUCCUCCCUUAAUAUCUGUCCCCACCCCUCUUCCAGACUUCAUCGGUGCCCUGAAGUUUACUUCUAGGUCUUUCUAUAGAUGGUGCCUCCUGCCUGAAGUACCCACCUCUUCCUCCAAGCCCCAGCUGUGGUUUUGUCAAGGAAUGUCCCAUGAUGGUCCCUGCCUGUCUGGACCACUCACCUCCGAUCAGCUCGCCUUUCCUCUUCUGACCCUGCCCAGCAUUGGCCCAGGCUGUGCCCCAUGCCUGGCAUGCCCUUCCUGUCUUCUCUCUCCUCACCUCACUGUCGUGUGGGGGCAGCUGGUGCAGCAGCUGCUUGAUCCUGUAUUUCUCCCCAGGACUGUUGACGUAGGGGACCUUGUCCUCUGGGAGGCAGCUGAAAAAUUGAUACACCUGGGAGGACAUAGGAGUGGGAGAAAACAGCUCAAAUGAGAGAGUUUUGCUCUUCUUGCCCAGGCUGGAGUGCAAUGCCACGAUCUCGGCUCACUGCAACCUCCACCUCCCAGGUUCAAGCACUUCUCUUGCUUCAGCCUCCCGAGUAGCUAGGAUUACAGGCAUGCACCACCAUGCCCAGGUAAUUGUUUUGUAUUUUUAGUAGAGAUGGGGUUUCUCCAUGUUGGUCAGGCUGGUCUGGAACUCCCGACCUCAGGUGAUCUGCCCGCCUCGGCCUCCCAAAGUGUUGGAAUUACAGGCAUGAGCCAUUGUGUCUGGCCUUUUUUUUUUUCUUUUUUGAGACAGGGUCUCACUCUGUCACCCAGGCUGAGGGCAGUAGCAGGAUCGAAGCUCACCACAACCUCCACUUCCUGAGUUCAAGCAAUUCUCCUGCCUCAGCCUCCUGAGUAGCUAGGAUUACAGGCAUACACUGCCAUACCUGGCUCCUUUUUGUACUUUUAGUAGGGAUGGUAUUUUGCCAUGUCUUAAGUAAUUUGCCCACCUCAGUUUCCCAAAGUGCUGGGGUUACAGGUGUGAGCCACCAUGCCCCUGGGCAGAUAUGUUAUUUUGUGUUCUUUUCCCAGAAAGUGUUUUGCUCACUGCUGUGUCCUCAGGGCCUAGAACAGUGUCUCACAUGCAGUAGGUGUCCCAUAACUAUGUGUUGAGUGACUCAAUGAAGUCAUGUGGUGAAUGAAGUGCUGGAAGGGUAGGAUAGGGAGUGGGGCCAGGCAUGGUAGCUUGCUCCUGUAAUCCAAACAUUUUGGGAGGCUGAGGCAAGAGGAUCACUUGAGCCAGGAGUUCCAGAGCAGCCUGGGCAACAUAGGGAGACCCUGUCUCUACAAAAGCUUAAAAAAGUUAGCCAGGCAUGGUGGCAUGUGCCUGCAGUCCCAGCUAUGCGGGAGGCUGUGGUGGGCAACAGAGUGAGACUGUCUCAAAAACAAACAAAAAGAAUAGGAUUGGGGUGAACAGGCCCUGAGGAACUGGUCCCUCAAUCAUCCAAGGUGUGGGGGGGCUGACUGCUCCUCCAUCACAGAAGGGCCAGAAGGAUCCUCAUCUGACUGCACACUCUAGCAUAGCUCCAGAAAUAGGUUCCCACAUGAGUGUGUGUGUGUGAGCAUGAGUGUGCACCCACUGGACAGCAAGAGUGGAGGGCUGGCCUCUGGUCACCUGC